This 497-nucleotide ribosomal RNA is filed under the name uncultured bacterium. Its description in RNAcentral is "partial 16S ribosomal RNA". It matches the Rfam family "Bacterial small subunit ribosomal RNA", at positions 28 to 507 of the family's 1533-position model. The record is from RNAcentral.
GAUGAACGCUGGCGGCGUGCUUAAUACAUGCAAGUCGAACGAACAGACGAGGAUUUUGCUCCUCUGUCGUUAGCGGCGGACGGGUGAGUAACACGUGGAUAACCUCCUUAUAUGCCUGGGAAAACCUCGGGACACCGGAGCUUAUACCGGAUAAUAUAUUGAACAGCGUGGUUCCAUAGUGAAAGACGGUUUUGCUGUAACUUAUAGAUGGAUCCGCGCCGCAUUAGAUAGUUGUUAAGGUUACGGCUUACCAAGGGAACGCUGCGUAGCCUACCUGAGAGGGGGAUCGGCCGCACUAGAGCUGAGACGCGGUCCAGACUCCUACGAGAGGGAGCAGUAGGGUAUCGUCCGCAAUGGGCGGAAGCCUGACGGAGUAACGCCGCGUGAGUGAUGAAAGUCUGCGGAUCGUAAAACGCUGUUAUUAGGGAAGAACAAAUGUGGAAGUAACUAUGCACGUCUUGACGGUACCUAGUCAGAAAGCCACGGCUAACUACGUG